Molecule: unclassified non-coding RNA, 287 nt
Filed under: Hevea brasiliensis (rubber tree)
Lineage: Eukaryota; Viridiplantae; Streptophyta; Magnoliopsida; Malpighiales; Euphorbiaceae
Source: RNAcentral
GUACUGGAACUCGAGUUUAUGUAUAUCAGUCGUCAAUUGACCACAAUAGAGAUAGAAGUCUUCCUAUUUCUAUCAAAUCAUUAACGGAAGGUCUUUCUAGAAAGUCAAUUGGACGUGCAUAUGACCGAAUGGAAACUGAGCCUGGACUUCAUUUAUUGGUACAUAAUACAUCUGGCUUAAAGGCCGCAAUAAAUCCACUUGUUCAGUGGGCUGAGAAGCAAAUCCCUAAGCGUUCUCAUAAGACUACAUCCCUUUUCCUUUAUGCUACAGCUGGGGUUCGCAGGCUG